CGAUCGGAUAGUGCGGGAAACCGCAUGAAACUCGCCUGCAAUUCCCGGCAUCACCGCGUUGCGGUGUGGCGACUUUACUUCUGCCUUCGGGCAGUAUCAAC
This 101-nucleotide non-coding RNA is filed under the name unclassified sequences. The record is from Rfam.